AGCGGGAUGGGAUAGCCUGGAGAUUCCGCCGGCCUCAUGAGCCGGAGAGCGGUGGUUCAAAUCCACCUCCCGCUA
Molecule: transfer RNA, 75 nt
Filed under: Halodesulfurarchaeum formicicum
Lineage: Archaea; Methanobacteriati; Methanobacteriota; Halobacteria; Halobacteriales; Halobacteriaceae
Also listed under: 3 other names
Rfam family: tRNA
About the family: Transfer RNA (tRNA) molecules are approximately 80 nucleotides in length. Their secondary structure includes four short double-helical elements and three loops (D, anti-codon, and T loops).
Source: Rfam by way of RNAcentral